GGGAGGCAGCAGUAGGGAAUUUUUCACAAUGGACGAAAGUCUGAUGAAGCAAUGCCGCGUGAGUGAUGACGGCCUUCGGGUUGUAAAGUUGUGUUGUAAGGGAAGAAAAAAUAAAGUAGGAAAUGACUUUAUCUUGACAGUACCUUACCAGAAACCACGGCUAACUAUGUGCCAGCAGCCGCGGUAAUACAUAGGUGGGCAAGCGUUAUCCGGAUUUAUUGGGCGUAUAGGGUGCGUAGGCGGUUUUGCAAGUUUGAGGUUAAAGUCCGGAGCUCAACUCCGGUUCGCCUUGAAAACUGUGUUACUAGAAUGCAAGAGAGGUAAGCGGAAUUCCAUGUGUAGCGGUGAAAUGCGUGGAUAUAUGGAAGAACACCUGUGGCGAAAGCGGCUUACUGGCUUGUUAUUGACGCUG
This 412-nucleotide ribosomal RNA is filed under the name Mycoplasma mycoides subsp. capri. RNAcentral's name for it is "bacterial SSU rRNA". It matches the Rfam family "Bacterial small subunit ribosomal RNA", at positions 343 to 748 of the family's 1533-position model. Lineage: Bacteria; Bacillati; Mycoplasmatota; Mollicutes; Mycoplasmatales; Mycoplasmataceae. The record is from RNAcentral.